AUGGCCGUAUCAUGCCGAAACACCAGUUCCUGUAUGAUCACUGAAGUUAAGCAACGUCGAGCCUGUUCAAGAUCUUGAUGGGUGACGCUUGGGAGUACCAGGUGCUGUAAG
Non-coding RNA from Acanthosepion pharaonis, 111 nucleotides. NCBI's taxonomy places the organism in Eukaryota, Metazoa, Mollusca, Cephalopoda, Sepiida, Sepiidae. The record is from the annotation of a GenBank genome assembly.